Molecule: regulatory RNA element, 150 nt
Rfam family: Ribosomal protein L10 leader
About the family: This family is a putative r-protein leader autoregulatory structure found in B. subtilis and other low-GC Gram-positive bacteria. It is located in the 5' untranslated regions of mRNAs encoding ribosomal proteins L10 and L12 (rplJ-rplL).
Source: Rfam
UAAUAACGCUGUAUUUUUCUAAAGACAGCAGGUACAAAUGUGUAAAAGGUGUUUGCCUUGCCUGCCGAGGAGAAAUCAUAACCUGAUUCAUAUUUGAAUUGUUAUGCCUUUCUUCGCGGUUUUGCGGGGAAAGGCUUUUUGUAUAAUCAA